AACGAACGCUGGCGGCAUGCCUAACACAUGCGAGUCGAACGAGACCUUCGGGUCUAGUGGCGCACGGGUGCGUAACGCGUGGGAACCUGCCCUUAGGUUCGGAAUAACUCCCCGAAAGGGGUGCUAAUACCGGAUAAUGUCUUCGGACCAAAGAUUUAUCGCCUUUGGAUGGGCCCGCGUUGGAUUAGCUAGUUGGUAGGGUAAAAGCCUACCAAGGCGACGAUCCAUAGCUGGUCUGAGAGGAUGAUCAGCCACACUGGGACUGAGACACGGCCCAGACUCCUACGGGAGGCAGCAGUGGGGAAUAUUGGACAAUGGGCGAAAGCCUGAUCCAGCAAUGCCGCGUGAGUGAUGAAGGCCUUAGGGUUGUAAGGCUCUUUUACCCGGGAUGAUAAUGACAGUACCGGGAGAAUAAGCUCCGGCUAACUCCGUG
Molecule: ribosomal RNA, 433 nt
Filed under: uncultured bacterium
Lineage: Bacteria
Description: partial 16S ribosomal RNA
Rfam family: Bacterial small subunit ribosomal RNA
Source: RNAcentral